Molecule: small RNA, 128 nt
Filed under: Marmota monax (woodchuck)
Lineage: Eukaryota; Metazoa; Chordata; Mammalia; Rodentia; Sciuridae
Source: RNAcentral
GCCGGGCAUGGUGGUGCAUGCCUGUGAUCCCAGCUGCUUGGGAGGCUGAGACAGGAGGAUCAUCACAAGUUCAAAGUCAGCCUCAGCAAUGGUGAGGGGCUAAGCAGCUCAGUGAGGCCCUGUCUCUA